GAAAUGCGAUACUUGGUGUGAAUUGCAGACGCUUUGAACGUUAAACUUUCGAACGCACAUUGCGCCGUAGGAGUCCUACCCUACGGCACAUCUGGUUGAGGGUCGUGAUCGUACACAGCCGCAAAGUUGCUGUAUCUAUAGACUAAUUGGUGAAUCACGAGUCCGGCUGCGUCGCCAAGUCAGUCGGACGUGUUUUGCCAUCAUGCUCUAGAGGAUAGUGCUUAAUCGAAAGGUUGAGCCUACCUACCACACGGAUGGGCUAUCAGCUGAAAGCGAUAGGUCCCGAUCCUAGGGUAUCUGGAAUCGCGCUCUUCGGGGCGUAAAUACUCUAGGAUGACAGGGAUAUCGGCUGCGUAGUUUCAUACGUGCUUGGUAUUGAGAGUAUUCGCUCUCCCGACCU
This 400-nucleotide unclassified non-coding RNA is filed under the name uncultured fungus. RNAcentral's name for it is "sequence contains ITS1". The stretch from base 1 to 105 matches the Rfam family "5.8S ribosomal RNA", at positions 50 to 154 of the family's 154-position model. Lineage: Eukaryota; Fungi. The record is from RNAcentral.